GAUGAACGCUAGCGGCAGGCCUAACACAUGCAAGUCGAGGGAGAAGCCCUUCGGGGCAGAAACCGGCGCACGGGUGCGUAACGCGUAUGCAACCUACCUUUCACAGGGGGAUAGCCCGGAGAAAUUUGGAUUAAUAUCCCAUAAUAUUGUUGGAUGGCAUCAUUUGGCAAUUAAAGUUACGAUGGUGGAAGAUGGGCAUGCGUCCUAUUAGCUAGUUGGCGAGGUAACGGCUCGCCAAGGCGACGAUAGGUAGGGGUCCUGAGAGGGAGAUCCCCCACACUGGUACUGAGACAGGGACCAGACUCCUACGGGAGGCAGCAGUGAGGAAUAUUGGUCAAUGGUCGGAAGACUGAACCAGCCAUGCCGCGUGCAGGAAGGCGGCCUUAUGGGUUGUAAACUGCUUUUAUAUGGGAAGAAUAAGGGGUACGUGUACUUUGAUGACGGUACCAUAUGAAUAAGCAUCGGCUAACUCCGUGCCAGCAGCCGCGGUAAUACGGAGGAUGCGAGCGUUAUUCGGAAUCAUUGGGUUUAAAGGGUCUGUAGGCGGGCUAUUAAGUCAGGGGUGAAAUAUUUCAGCUUAACUGGGAAAUUGCCUUUGAUACUGGUAGUCUUGAAUAUUUGUGAAGUUUUUGGAAUGUGUAGUGUAGCGGUGAAAUGCAUAGAUAUUACACAGAACACCGAUUGCGGAGGCAGGGGACUAACAAAUAAUUGACGCUGAGAGACGAGAGCGUGGGGAGCGAACAGG
RNAcentral lists this ribosomal RNA (745 nucleotides) under uncultured Capnocytophaga sp. RNAcentral describes it as "bacterial SSU rRNA". It matches the Rfam family "Bacterial small subunit ribosomal RNA", at positions 28 to 776 of the family's 1533-position model. Lineage: Bacteria; Pseudomonadati; Bacteroidota; Flavobacteriia; Flavobacteriales; Flavobacteriaceae. The record is from RNAcentral.